Molecule: signal recognition particle RNA, 263 nt
Filed under: Roseburia sp.
Lineage: Bacteria; Bacillati; Bacillota; Clostridia; Lachnospirales; Lachnospiraceae
Description: signal recognition particle sRNA large type
Rfam family: Bacterial large signal recognition particle RNA
About the family: The signal recognition particle (SRP) is a universally conserved ribonucleoprotein involved in the co-translational targeting of proteins to membranes.
Source: RNAcentral
CCGAGCAGCCGGGGUGUUAGCGGUACCCUGUACCAACAAUCCGCUAUAGUUGGGGUGAUGCCGAACGGAGGGUCUUUUAAUUGCAGAGCUGCCCGCCAUAAGUGGCGUUGAUGUCUGGGUCUUGCGCAACAGGAAUCUGUGAACCGGGUCAGGUCAGGAAUGGAGCAGCCCUAAGCAGAAGCUUCUGUGUGCCGCAAGGGUGCCUGGGCUGAGUUAACUGUGGUGGUAACGUCUGUGAUUGGGAUUCGAAGGGAGGCGCCCGG